GUGGUUUAAUUCGAUGCAACGCGAAAACCUUACCCACCUUUGACAUGUACGGAAUCCUUUAGAGAUAGAGGAGUGCUCGAAAGAGAGCCGUAACACAGGUGCUGCAUGGCUGUCGUCAGCUCGUGUCGUGAGAUGUUGGGUUAAGUCCCGCAACGAGCGCAACCCUUGUCAUUAGUUGCUACAUUCAGUUGGGCACUCUAAUGAGACUGCCGGUGACAAACCGGAGGAAGGUGGGGAUGACGUCAAGUCAGCAUGGCCUUUAUAUCCUGGGCUACACACACGCUACAAUGGGAAGGGACAAUAGGUUGCGAAGCCGCGAGGCGGAGCCAAUCCAGCAAAACUUCCCUCAGUUCAGAUUGCAGGCUGCAACUCGCCUGCAUGAAGUUGGAGUUGCUAGUAAACGCAGGUCAGCCAUACUGCGUUGAAUACGUUCCCGGGGCUU
RNAcentral lists this ribosomal RNA (442 nucleotides) under uncultured Acidovorax sp. Its description in RNAcentral is "bacterial SSU rRNA". It matches the Rfam family "Bacterial small subunit ribosomal RNA", at positions 941 to 1382 of the family's 1533-position model. The record is from RNAcentral. Lineage: Bacteria; Pseudomonadati; Pseudomonadota; Betaproteobacteria; Burkholderiales; Comamonadaceae.